GAUGAACGCUGACAGAAUGCUUAACACAUGCAAGUCGAUUCGAUUUACCCUCGGGUAUUGAGGAUGGCGGACGGGUGAGUAACGCGUAAGGAACUUGCCUCUUGGUCUGGGACAACUGUUGGAAACGACAGCUAAUACCGGAUAUUAUGAGAUUCUCGCAUGGGAAACUUAUGAAAGCUAUAUGCGCCAAGAGAGAGCCUUGCGUUCCAUUAGCUAGUUGGUGGGGUAACGGCCCACCAAGGCGACGAUGGAUAGCCGGCCUGAGAGGGUGAACGGCCACAAGGGGACUGAGACACGGCCCUUACUCCUACGGGAGGCAGCAGUGGGGAAUAUUGGACAAUGGGCCACAAGCCUGAUCCAGCAAUUCUGUGUGCACGAUGAAGGUCUUCGGAUUGUAAAGUGCUUUCAGUUGGGAAGAAGAAAGUGACGGUACCAACAGAAGAAGCGACGGCUAAAUACGUGCCAGCAGCCGCGGUAAUACGUAUGUCGCAAGCGUUAUCCGGAUUUAUUGGGCGUAAAGCGCGUCUAGGCGGAAAAAUAAGUCUGAUGUUAAAAUGCGGGGCUCAACUCCGUAUUGCGUUGGAAACUGUUUUUCUAGAGUACUGGAGAGGUGGGCGGAACUACAAGUGUAGAGGUGAAAUUCGUAGAUAUUUGUAGGAAUGCCNAUGGAGAA
Molecule: ribosomal RNA, 673 nt
Filed under: uncultured prokaryote
Description: bacterial SSU rRNA
Rfam family: Bacterial small subunit ribosomal RNA
Source: RNAcentral